RNAcentral lists this ribosomal RNA (498 nucleotides) under uncultured bacterium. Its description in RNAcentral is "partial 16S ribosomal RNA". It matches the Rfam family "Bacterial small subunit ribosomal RNA", at positions 30 to 523 of the family's 1533-position model. The record is from RNAcentral.
AUUGAACGCUGGCAGCAUGCCUUACACAUGCAAGUCGAACGGUAACAGGUCUUCGGAUGCUGACGAGUGGCGAACGGGUGAGUAAUACAUCGGAACGUGCCCGAUCGUGGGGGAUAACGAAGCGAAAGCUUUGCUAAUACCGCAUAAGAUCUAAGGAUGAAAGCAGGGGACAGCAAGGCCUUGCGCGAACGGAGCGGCCGAAGGCAGAUUAGGUAGUUGGUGGGAUAAAAGCUUACCAAGCCGACGAUCUGUAGCUGGUCUGAGAGGACGACCAGCCACACUGGGACUGAGACACGGCCCAGACUCCUACGGGAGGCAGCAGUGGGGAAUUUUGGACAAUGGGCGAAAGCCUGAUCCAGCCAUGCCGCGUGCAGGAUGAAGGCCUUCGGGUUGUAAACUGCUUUUGUACGGAACGAAAAGACUCUGGUUAAUACCUGGGGUCCAUGACGGUACCGUAAGAAUAAGCACCGGCUAACUACGUGCCAGCCGCCGCCGUAA